GACGAACGCUGGCGGCGUGCCUAAUACAUGCAAGUAGAACGCUGAAGGAGGAGCUUACUUCUCUGGAUGAGUUGCGAACGGGUGAGUAACGCGUAGGUAACCUGCCUGGUAGCGGGGGAUAACUAUUGGAAACGAUAGCUAAUACCGCAUAAGCGGAAAUGUUGCAUGACAUUUACUUAAAAGGUGCAAUUGCACCACUACCAGAUGGACCUGCGUUGUAUUAGCUAGUUGGUGGGGUAGCGGCUUACCAAGGCGACGAUAAAUAGCCGACCUGAGAGGGUGAUCGGCCACACUGGGACUGAGCCACGGCCCAGACUCCUACGGGAGGCAGCAGUAGGGAAUCUUCGGCAAUGGACGGAAGUCUGACCGAGCAACGCCGCGUGAGUGAAGAAGGUUUUCGGAUCGUAAAGCUCUGUUGUAAGAGAAGAACGAGUGUGAGAGUGGAAAGUUCACACUGUGACGGUAUCUUACCAGAAAGGGACGGCUAACUACGUGCCAGCAGCCGCCGUAA
RNAcentral lists this ribosomal RNA (511 nucleotides) under uncultured bacterium. Its description in RNAcentral is "partial 16S ribosomal RNA". It matches the Rfam family "Bacterial small subunit ribosomal RNA", at positions 28 to 523 of the family's 1533-position model. The record is from RNAcentral.